AUUUAUAUAGUUUAAAUAAAACAUUACAUUUUCAUUGUAAAAAUAAAUAAUAUUUUAUAAAUA
RNAcentral lists this transfer RNA (63 nucleotides) under Phraortes sp. Iriomote Island. Its description in RNAcentral is "tRNA-Glu". Lineage: Eukaryota; Metazoa; Arthropoda; Insecta; Phasmatodea; Lonchodidae. The record is from RNAcentral.